This is a regulatory RNA element of Sphingomonas sp. SRS2, 57 nucleotides long. It matches the Rfam family "terC RNA". The record is from Rfam. NCBI's taxonomy places the organism in Bacteria, Pseudomonadati, Pseudomonadota, Alphaproteobacteria, Sphingomonadales, Sphingomonadaceae.
UGUGCGGGCCGGGCCCCUCUGGCGACUGCCAAACGGUCGCGAUGUCGGACCGCAUCG